UUUGGUUUGCUUGCAAACCAAAGCUGGCGACCGGCGCACGGGUGAGUAACACGUAUCCAACCUGCCUCAUACUCGGGGAUAGCCUUUCGAAAGAAAGAUUAAUAUCCGAUAGCAUAUAUUUCCCGCAUGGGUUUUAUAUUAAAGAAAUUCGAUAUGAGAUGGGGAUGCGUUCCAUUAGUUUGUUGGCGGGGUAACGGCCCACCAAGACUACGAUGGAUAGGGGUUCUGAGAGGAAGGUCCCCCACAUUGGAACUGAGACACGGUCCAAACUCCUACGGGAGGCAGCAGUGAGGAAUAUUGGUCAAUGGACGCGAGUCUGAACCAGCCAAGUAGCGUGAAGGAUGACUGCCCUAUGGGUUGUAAACUUCUUUUAUAUGGGAAUAAAGUGGUCCACGUGUGGAUUUUUGUAUGUACCAUAUGAAUAAGGAUCGGCUAACUCCGUGCCAGCAGCCGCGGUAAUACGGAGGAUCCGAGCGUUAUCCGGAUUUAUUGGGUUUAAAGGGAGCGUAGGCGGAUUGUUAAGUCAGUUGUGAAAGUUUGCGGCUCAACCGUAAAAUUGCAGUUGAUACUGGCAGUCUUGAGUGCAGUAGAGGUGGGCGGAAUUCGUGGUGUAGCGGUGAAAUGCUUAGAUAUCACGAAGAACUCCGAUUGCGAAGGCAGCUCACUGGAGUGUAACUGACGCUGAUGCUCGAAAGUGUGGGUAUCA
RNAcentral lists this ribosomal RNA (706 nucleotides) under uncultured Bacteroidales bacterium. Its description in RNAcentral is "bacterial SSU rRNA". It matches the Rfam family "Bacterial small subunit ribosomal RNA", at positions 70 to 770 of the family's 1533-position model. The record is from RNAcentral. Lineage: Bacteria; Pseudomonadati; Bacteroidota; Bacteroidia; Bacteroidales.